AGUCGAACGAAGCAUUUGCGACAGAUUUUUUCGGAAUGAAGUUGCUUAUGACUGAGUGGCGGACGGGUGAGUAACGCGUGGGUAACCUGCCUUGUACUGGGGGAUAGCAGCUGGAAACGGCUGGUAAUACCGCAUAAGCGCACAAUGUUGCAUGACAUGGUGUGAAAAACUCCGGUGGUAUAAGAUGGACCCGCGUCUGAUUAGCUAGUUGGUGAGAUAACAGCCCACCAAGGCGACGAUCAGUAGCCGACCUGAGAGGGUGACCGGCCACAUUGGGACUGAGACACGGCCCAGACUCCUACGGGAGGCAGCAGUGGGGAAUAUUGCACAAUGGAGGAAACUCUGAUGCAGCGACGCCGCGUGAGUGAAGAAGUAAUUCGUUAUGUAAAGCUCUAUCAGCAGGGAAGAUAGUGACGGUACCUGACUAAGAAGCUCCGGCUAAAUACGUGCCAGCAGCCGCGGUAAUACGUAUGGAGCAAGCGUUAUCCGGAUUUACUGGGUGUAAAGGGAGUGUAGGUGGCCAUGCAAGUCAGAAGUGAAAAUCCGGGGCUCAACCCCGGAACUGCUUUUGAAACUGUAAGGCUAGAGUGCAGGAGGGGUGAGUGGAAUUCCUAGUGUAGCGGUGAAAUGCGUAGAUAUUAGGAGAAACACCAGUGGCGAAGGCGGCUCACUGGACUGUAACUGACACUGAGGCUCGAAAGCGUGGGGGAGCAAACAGGAUUAGAUACCC
Molecule: ribosomal RNA, 730 nt
Filed under: uncultured bacterium
Lineage: Bacteria
Description: bacterial SSU rRNA
Rfam family: Bacterial small subunit ribosomal RNA
Source: RNAcentral